GGAUGCGAUCAUACCAGCACUAAAGCACCGGAUCCCAUCAGAACUCCGAAGUUAAGCGUGCUUGGGCGAGAAUAGUACUAGGAUGGGUGACCUCUUGGGAAGUCCUCGUGUUGCAUUCC
This 119-nucleotide ribosomal RNA is filed under the name Triticum aestivum (bread wheat). RNAcentral also lists the same sequence under 1 other name. The record is from RNAcentral. Lineage: Eukaryota; Viridiplantae; Streptophyta; Magnoliopsida; Poales; Poaceae.